ACGGGUGAGUAACGCGUGGGAACGUGCCUUCCGGUUCGGAAUAACCCUGGGAAACUAGGGCUAAUACCGGAUACGCCCUUAUGGGGAAAGGUUUACUGCCGGAAGAUCGGCCCGCGUCUGAUUAGCUAGUUGGUGGGGUAACGGCCUACCAAGGCGACGAUCAGUAGCUGGUCUGAGAGGAUGAUCAGCCACACUGGGACUGAGACACGGCCCAGACUCCUACGGGAGGCAGCAGUGGGGAAUAUUGGACAAUGGGCGCAAGCCUGAUCCAGCCAUGCCGCGUGAGUGAUGAAGGCCUUAGGGUUGUAAAGCUCUUUUAUCCGGGACGAUAAUGACGGUACCGGAGGAAUAAGCCCCGGCUAACUUCGUGCCAGCAGCCGCGGUAAUACGAAGGGGGCUAGCGUUGCUCGGAAUCACUGGGCGUAAAGGGCGCGUAGGCGGCGUUUUAAGUCGAGGGUGAAAGCCUGUGGCUCAACCACAGAAUGGCCUUCGAUACUGGGACGCUUGAGUAUGGUAGAGGUUGGUGGAACUGCGAGUGUAGAGGUGAAAUUCGUAGA
RNAcentral lists this ribosomal RNA (557 nucleotides) under uncultured Methylobacterium sp. RNAcentral describes it as "bacterial SSU rRNA". It matches the Rfam family "Bacterial small subunit ribosomal RNA", at positions 102 to 694 of the family's 1533-position model. The record is from RNAcentral. Lineage: Bacteria; Pseudomonadati; Pseudomonadota; Alphaproteobacteria; Hyphomicrobiales; Methylobacteriaceae.